Molecule: non-coding RNA, 48 nt
Filed under: Schistosoma mattheei
Lineage: Eukaryota; Metazoa; Platyhelminthes; Trematoda; Strigeidida; Schistosomatidae
Source: RNAcentral
AUUCAGUUGAAGAGUACCAAAUAGGACGGAACGUACGUCAAACUGGAU